GAUGAAGAACGCAGCGAAAUGCGAUACGUAAUGUGAAUUGCAGAAUUCAGUGAAUCAUCGAGUCUUUGAACGCACAUUGCGCCCCCUGGUAUUCCGGGGGGCAUGCCUGUCCGAGCGUCAUUGCUGCCCUCAAGCACGGCUUGUGUGUUGGGCCCCCGUCCCCGGUUUCCCCCGGGGACGGGCCCGAAAGGCAGCGGCGGCACCGCGUCCGGUCCUCGAGCGUAUGGGGCUUUGUCACCCGCUCUGUAGGCCCGGCCGGCGCCAGCCGACACCCAACUUUAUUUCUAAGGUUGACCUCGGAUCAGGUAGGGAUACCCGCUGAACUUAAGCAUAUCAAUAAGCGGAGGA
RNAcentral lists this unclassified non-coding RNA (348 nucleotides) under soil metagenome. Its description in RNAcentral is "partial contains 5.8S ribosomal RNA, internal transcribed spacer 2, and large subunit ribosomal RNA". The stretch from base 1 to 120 matches the Rfam family "5.8S ribosomal RNA", at positions 35 to 154 of the family's 154-position model. The record is from RNAcentral.